Stegodyphus dumicola is the source of this 335-nucleotide long non-coding RNA. The record is from RefSeq and is a predicted model, not a curated record. Lineage: Eukaryota; Metazoa; Arthropoda; Arachnida; Araneae; Eresidae.
UUUUUUUACUGUUUUCAGUAUCCUUGUUUUGUGGAGAUCGAGAAAAAGCUGAGGCAAAGAACUGAUGAAUUGAGAAAAAGUCCAGUGACAGCACGUGAAUACAAUGCAAUGGAGUCAGGCAGAACCUGCAUUGUGCCUAAUUUCUACAGGUGUAUGGACAACCCAGAGGACUGCUUUUAAAGUGCUUUACUUCCACUUGAUCUUGAUAAGAUACUACAUACAUCCGUAGAACCUUCCCAGAAAGAAGAAAAUGGUUCACAUUUCUUUACGUAAUCUGUGUGUCAAGCAUCAUUUUGUUAAAUAAGAUGUCAAGAAAUCAAUGAAUAAAAACUAAU